CGGGGUGCAGCAGGCGCGAAAACUCUACAAUGCAGGCAACUGCGAUAGGGGAACAUCGAGUGGCACCCACCAUGGGUGUCUGUCCAACCGUCUAAAAAACGGUUGUUAGCAAGGGCCGGGUAAGACCGGUGCCAGCCGCCGCGGUAAUACCGGCGGCUCGAGUGGUGGCCGAUAUUAUUGAGUCUAAAGGGUCCGUAGCUGGCUUUGCAAGUCCCCUGGGAAAUCCAGCGGCUUAACCGUUGGGCUUCCAUGGGAUACUACAUUGCUUGGGACUGGGAGAGGUAGGAGGUACUCAGGGGGUAGGGGUGAAAUCCUGUAAUCCUCUGGGGACCACCGGUGGCGAAGGCGUCCUACCAGAACAGGUCCGACAGUGAGGGACGAAAGCUAGGGGCACGAACCGGAUUAGAUACCCGGGUAGUCCUAGCCGUAAACGAUGCUCGCUAGGUGUCACGGCAGUCGUGAAUUGUCGUGGUGCCGUAGGGAAGCCGUGAAGCGAGCCACUUGGGAAGUACGACCGCAAGGUUGAAACUUAAAGGAAUUGGCGGGGGAGCAC
This 553-nucleotide ribosomal RNA is filed under the name uncultured archaeon. RNAcentral's name for it is "bacterial SSU rRNA". It matches the Rfam family "Archaeal small subunit ribosomal RNA", at positions 326 to 879 of the family's 1478-position model. The record is from RNAcentral.